Molecule: ribosomal RNA, 253 nt
Filed under: uncultured bacterium
Lineage: Bacteria
Also listed under: 1 other name
Description: partial 16S ribosomal RNA
Rfam family: Bacterial small subunit ribosomal RNA
Source: RNAcentral
UACGAAGGGUGCAAGCGUUACUCGGAAUUACUGGGCGUAAAGCGUGCGUAGGUGGUUGUUUAAGUCUGAUGUGAAAGCCCUGGGCUCAACCUGGGAAUGGCAUUGGAAACUGGGCAGCUAGAGUGCGGUAGAGGGUAGUGGAAUUCCCGGUGUAGCAGUGAAAUGCGUAGAGAUCGGGAGGAACAUCUGUGGCGAAGGCGACUGCCUGGACCAGCACUGACACUGAGGCACGAAAGCGUGGGGAGCAAACAGG